Molecule: ribosomal RNA, 441 nt
Filed under: uncultured bacterium
Lineage: Bacteria
Description: partial 16S ribosomal RNA
Rfam family: Bacterial small subunit ribosomal RNA
Source: RNAcentral
CUACGGGGUGCACCAGUGGGGAAUAUUGGGCAAUGGGCGCAAGCCUGACCCAGCAACGCCGCGUGAGGGAAGAAGGUUUUCGGAUUGUAAACCUCUGUCCUUGGGGACGAAGAAGUGACGGUACCCAAGGAGGAAGCUCCGGCUAACUACGUGCCAGCAGCCGCGGGAAUACGUAGGGAGCAAGCGUUGUCCGGAAUUACUGGGCGUAAAGGGUGCGUAGGCGGCAUACUAAGUCAGGUGUGAAAUACUCGGGCUCAACCCGGGGGCUGCAUUUGAAACUGAUAUGCUUGAGUGUGAGAGAGGAAAGUGGAAUUCCUAGUGUAGCGGUGGAAUGCGUAGAUAUUAGGAGGAACACCAGUGGCGAAGGCGACUUUCUGGCUCAUAACUGACGCUGAGGCACGAAAGCGUGGGGAGCAAACAGGAUUAGAUACCCUUGUAGUC